Molecule: ribosomal RNA, 253 nt
Filed under: uncultured bacterium
Lineage: Bacteria
Description: partial 16S ribosomal RNA
Rfam family: Bacterial small subunit ribosomal RNA
Source: RNAcentral
UACGUAGGGUGCGAGCGUUAAUCGGAAUUACUGGGCGUAAAGCGUGCGCAGGCGGUUCGUUGCGUCGGUGGUGAAAUCCCCGGGCUUAACCUGGGAAUGGCCAUGGAAACUGGCGAACUGGAGUGCGGCAGAGGGGGGUGGAAUUCCGCGUGUAGCAGUGAAAUGCGUAGAGAUGCGGAGGAACACCGAUGGCGAAGGCAGCCCCCUGGGCUAGCACUGACGCUCAGGCACGAAAGCGUGGGGAGCAAACAGG